UGGGGAAUAUUGCACAAUGGGCGAAAGCCUGAUGCAGCGACGCCGCGUGCGGGAUGAAGGCCUUCGGGUUGUAAACCGCUUUUAAUUGGGAGCAAGCGAGAGUGAGUGUACCUUUUGAAUAAGCACCGGCUAACUACGUGCCAGCAGCCGCGGUAAUACGUAGGGUGCAAGCGUUAUCCGGAAUUAUUGGGCGUAAAGAGCUCGUAGGCGGUUUGUCACGCCUGGUGUGAAAGUCCAUCGCUUAACGGUGGAUCUGCGCCGGGUACGGGCAGGCUAGAGUGCAGUAGGGGAGAUUGGAAUUCCCGGUGUAACGGUGGAAUGUGUAGAUAUCGGGAAGAACACCAAUGGCGAAGGCAGAUCUCUGGGCUGUUACUGACGCUGAGAAGCGAAAGCAUGGGGAGCGAACAGGAUUAGAUACCCUGGUAGUCCAUGCCGUAAACGGUGGAUGCUGGAUGUGGGACCCUUCCACGGGUUCCGUGUCGGAGCUAACGCGUUAAGCAUCCCGCCUGGGGAGUACGGCCGCAAGGCUAAAAC
RNAcentral lists this ribosomal RNA (534 nucleotides) under uncultured bacterium. RNAcentral describes it as "partial 16S ribosomal RNA". It matches the Rfam family "Bacterial small subunit ribosomal RNA", at positions 355 to 900 of the family's 1533-position model. The record is from RNAcentral.